RNAcentral lists this ribosomal RNA (222 nucleotides) under uncultured bacterium. Its description in RNAcentral is "partial 16S ribosomal RNA". It matches the Rfam family "Bacterial small subunit ribosomal RNA", at positions 109 to 334 of the family's 1533-position model. The record is from RNAcentral.
AGUAAUACAUCGGAACGUGCCCAGUAGUGGGGGAUAACCCGGCGAAAGCCGGACUAAUACCGCAUACGACCUACGGGUGAAAGCAGGGGAUCGCAAGACCUUGCGCUAUCGGAGCGGCCGAUGUCAGAUUAGCUUGUUGGCGGGGUAAAAGCCCACCAAGGCGACGAUCUGUAGCUGGUCUGAGAGGACGAUCAGCCACACUGGGACUGAGACACGGCCCAG